RNAcentral lists this ribosomal RNA (253 nucleotides) under uncultured bacterium. Its description in RNAcentral is "partial 16S ribosomal RNA". It matches the Rfam family "Bacterial small subunit ribosomal RNA", at positions 524 to 776 of the family's 1533-position model. The record is from RNAcentral.
UACGUAGGGGGCUAGCGUUGUCCGGAUUUAUUGGGCGUAAAGAGCGUGUAGGCGGCCAGAUAGGUCUGCUGUGAAAACUCGAGGCUCAACCUCGAGAUGUCGGCGGAAACCAUUUGGCUAGAGUCCGGAAGAGGAAAGUGGAAUUCCUGGUGUAGCGGUGAAAUGCGCAGAUAUCAGGAAGAACACCCGUGGCGAAGGCGGCUUUCUGGACUGCAACUGACACUGAUGAACGAAAGCCAGGGGAGCAAACGGG